Molecule: small RNA, 119 nt
Filed under: Marmota monax (woodchuck)
Lineage: Eukaryota; Metazoa; Chordata; Mammalia; Rodentia; Sciuridae
Source: RNAcentral
GCUGGGUGCAGUGGUGCAUGCCUGUAAUCUCAGCAGCUUGGGAGGCUGAGACAGGAGGAUCUCAAAUUCAAAGCCAGCAAAAGCGAGGCACUAAGCAACUCAGUGAGACCCCGUCUCUA